GCUUUGUUCGGAAUUACUGGGCGUAAAGGGAGCGUAGGCGGAUAGUUUAGUCAGAGGUGAAAGCCCGAAGC
Molecule: ribosomal RNA, 71 nt
Filed under: uncultured bacterium
Lineage: Bacteria
Description: partial 16S ribosomal RNA
Source: RNAcentral